GAUGAACGCUGGCGGCGUGCCUAAUACAUGCAAGUCGAGCGGUAACACUUCGGGUGACGAGCGGCGGACGGCUGAGUAACACGUAGGAACGUACCCCAAACUGAGGGAUAAGCACCGGAAACGGUGUCUAAUACCGCAUGUGGUCUUCGGAUUAAAGCUUCGGCGGUUUGGGAACGGCCUGCGCAUGAUUAGCUUGUUGGUGAGGUAAUAGCUCACCAAGGCGACGAUCAUUAGCUGGUCUAAGAGGAUGAUCAGCCAGACUGGGACUGAGAACGGCCCUGACUCCUACGGGAGGCAGCAGUAGGGAAUCUUCCACAAUGGGCGAAAGCCUGAUGGAGCAACGCCGCGUGCAGGAUGAAGGCCUUCGGGUCGUAAACUGCUUUUAUUGGUGACGAUUAUGACGGUAGCCAAUGAAUAAGGAUCGGCUAACUCCGUGCCAGCAGCCGCGGUAA
This 452-nucleotide ribosomal RNA is filed under the name uncultured bacterium. RNAcentral describes it as "partial 16S ribosomal RNA". It matches the Rfam family "Bacterial small subunit ribosomal RNA", at positions 28 to 523 of the family's 1533-position model. The record is from RNAcentral.